CAAACUGGCGCAUGACUAAGUCGCUUUGGAUAAAAGCGUCUGCUAAAUGGCAUAUA
Non-coding RNA from Salmo salar (Atlantic salmon), 56 nucleotides. The record is from Rfam. NCBI's taxonomy places the organism in Eukaryota, Metazoa, Chordata, Actinopteri, Salmoniformes, Salmonidae.